This is a long non-coding RNA of Daphnia carinata, 773 nucleotides long. RefSeq lists it as uncharacterized. NCBI's taxonomy places the organism in Eukaryota, Metazoa, Arthropoda, Branchiopoda, Diplostraca, Daphniidae. The record is from RefSeq and is a predicted model, not a curated record. The transcript has 3 exons.
GUGAACAGACUUACUACAAGGAGUGUCCCGAUUCAAAAAAUGAGGAUGGAGCAAGUGUCCUACGUCAGGUAAAUUAUUUUUCAUUGAAUAGAAUUUUUUUUUUAAUUUGGUAAGUUGCAGCAGCGAUUCUGGAACGAUCUUGGCUCAAGAUGAUGGUUCACUGGAUAUUUGGAAGACGUGGGGAUGUAAUACUCUUGUCAGUGACAAUAGUACAAUCAGAUUACUAAUUAUCAUCUUCCUUAUUUCAUGUGAUCAUUUUCAUUUAUUUCACAGCCUCCAUAUUCAAGGGCAGCAAUAUUGUUGUGCUUGCUGUCAAGCCAAACUAAUUCCCUGACUUUGUUAGGGAUUUGAACAAAUGUAAUGGACCAGAAAAUCAGUUAGUGUUGUCUGUAAUGAGCGGGAUCACUAUUGAAGAACUUGAAAAGGGGCUUUUUUCAUGAGUGGCUAAUCUUAAGGCCAUAAUUCAUGUGAUGCCCAAUACUCCUGCAUUGUGUACUGCCUCAAGGAGCAUGCACCUUCCAAGCAUGCUGAUGCAACCAUCAAAAUCUUAGAAAGUGUGUGAAUUUGUUGUCAGGUGCCCGAGUGCCACAUGAACAAAGCGUUCACAAAUAAGAGGAUCCAUGAUCUGACCACAGCUGUUGCUUCCACCUAGUGAUUGUUAAGCUUUCAAAAUGAUUAUAAUUUGUUAUACAACACAGAAAAAUCAAAAACAUAUUUGCUGUUUUCGUUUGAUGAAAUUAUUACAGAAACAAUAAAUGUGUUUACAACUUUAA